CCUACGGGCGGCUGCAGUGAGGAAUAUUGCACAAUGGACGCAAGUCUGAUGCAGCAACGCCGCGUGGAGGAUGAAGGUCUUUGGAUUGUAAACUCCUUUUCUCAGGGAAGAGAAUGGACGGUACCUGAGGAAUAAGUCACGGCUAACUACGUGCCAGCAGCCGCGGUAAUACGUAGGUGGCAAGCGUUAUCCGGAAUUACUGGGCGUAAAGCGCACGCAGGCGGUCUCUUAAGUUUGACGUGAAAGCUCUCGGCUUAACUGGGAGAGGUCGUUGAAUACUGGGAGACUUGAGGCAAUGAGAGGGGUGUAGAAUUCCCGGUGUAGUGGUGGAAUGCGUAGAUAUCGGGGGGAAUACCAGUGGCGAAAGCGGCACCCUAGCGUUGUACUGACGCUCAUGUGCGAAAGCGUGGGGAGCGAACGGGAUUAGAUACCCCUGUAGUC
Molecule: ribosomal RNA, 441 nt
Filed under: uncultured bacterium
Lineage: Bacteria
Description: partial 16S ribosomal RNA
Rfam family: Bacterial small subunit ribosomal RNA
Source: RNAcentral